RNAcentral lists this long non-coding RNA (1231 nucleotides) under Olea europaea subsp. europaea. The record is from RNAcentral. Lineage: Eukaryota; Viridiplantae; Streptophyta; Magnoliopsida; Lamiales; Oleaceae.
AUCCAAAAUAAGUAGCAAAGGCAACAAAAUAAGCAAAAUUUGCAGCAAAUUACGUUAAUAAAUAAUUAUGUUUAAACUGAAUAAGUAACAACUAACAACCUUGAUUCCUUGAAUCUUACAAUUCCAUUGAUUUUCCCAGAAAACAAUUUUAAGUAACUGCUUAGUCUCAAUCCCAACCAAAUUUAUAUUCCAACGGUGGCGUAAGCAUAGAUUGGUAUGCUUAUUCAACUUCGACUUUUCAAUCUUCCAACCAAUUCAAGAAAGCUACUUUGAGGAACAAUCACGGUUAUCCAACAAAAGGGGUUUCUAUUUCUCCAAACAAACAAGUUACGACAAUGUUCAUUUUACCAAUGGAUUGCAAAAUUGAUCGUUCAACAAGAAAAUGGAUCAUAUUCGAUCAGAUCAAACCUAAAACGUUAUCAAAACAAACUGAUUGGAUAACACAAAACCAAGUAUGAAGAUCUCUCCAGACAACAACGAAAUUACUAUACAUAUUUUGGAAGAAUAUAUAUGAUUAAUUCAUAUAGUACAACCACAAAAGAUAAAGAAAUAAAAAAGCAUACAAACCAAAGCUAAGGAUUCAAACACUGUGACUAAAGUCCACAGAACGUUAUCCACGACAGAUAUAUCGAGCCACCGGAAGCUCGGGCUGCUCCACCGUGAUGUGAAGGAGGAGAAAUUGAUUUCCGGCCAACGAAGAAUUGACGAAGGCAGAGAAAAAUCGAACUCCGGCCACCUGAAAGCUGACCAAUACCAACUCCCUAUACACAUCUCUGAAAGAGGUUUCUUAUUUUCUGUGAAUUAAUAAUAUGAAAGUUCCGUAGUCUAUUAUUUUAUAUGAUGUCAGAACACCGUAACCAUAGAUUUUGCUAGAGAAUUUUAGAUCAGUUAUUACGUGUCUUGGACAAUUUGGCUAGAUGAUUGUGACUAAUAGUUAAUUUAAUGUACAUAGCCAUCACCAACACGAAAAUACACGUGUGUAGGUCUAUCAUUCUAUCUCAAACUUUAUCAUCCUUUCUUCUUUAUUCGUCCUCCAUUAGAAUAGUGUAUCAAUACGACUCAAAUUUUGAAAUGAUUCCUUGGUCAAGCACAAUCCCUUUCUUACUACCGAUUUGGCAUGAAAUUACUUCGUCCGGCCGCAUAAUUAAGCACAUAGGGACCUACCAUUGGACUCGACACGACUUGUGUAAAAGUGAGUUGGCCUAUGGCAUGAUCAAUACUCGAAGUUUGG